UACGUAGGGCGCAAGCGUUGUCCGGAAUUAUUGGGCGUAAAGAGCUCGUAGGCGGCCAGUUGCGUCUGCUGUGAAAUCCCGGGGCUCAACCCCGGGCGUGCAGUGGAUACGGGCUGGCUAGAGGCAGGCAGGGGAGAACGGAAUUCCCGGUGUAGCGGUGAAAUGCGCAGAUAUCGGGAGGAACACCGGUGGCGAAGGCGGCUUUCUGGCAUACAACUGACGCUGAGGCGCGAAAGCGUGGGGAGCAAACGGG
This 253-nucleotide ribosomal RNA is filed under the name uncultured bacterium. RNAcentral's name for it is "partial 16S ribosomal RNA". It matches the Rfam family "Bacterial small subunit ribosomal RNA", at positions 524 to 776 of the family's 1533-position model. The record is from RNAcentral.